Punica granatum (pomegranate) is the source of this 1568-nucleotide non-coding RNA. The record is from RefSeq and is a predicted model, not a curated record. NCBI's taxonomy places the organism in Eukaryota, Viridiplantae, Streptophyta, Magnoliopsida, Myrtales, Lythraceae.
CGCUUUUGGAGAGGAUUAAGAUUAAAAGUUUGCAUUAUAAAAUGUUUUGGUCGGACAGUUGUCCAAUUUUCUUCACUGUAGAGAUUUUUUUUUUCCGAUUACAAUGGAGGUCUAUGGACUUAGUGCCUUUCUUUCUGUUCUUUUAUAUUUAAUUCUGAUAUUUCGUGCUUGGAUUGGACUUCUUUCUUCCUCUAUCAAUCUCAGAGGUUGAUGAGUGGGGGUGGAAUUCCUCAAACUGAGUAUGGAAUUUUCUUGUUUCUGGAAUUGGAGCUCUUAUCUUCUCUACGCCAAUCUGUUCAGUUGCAGAGGAAGCCAUGGGCUGAACAAGACAGAAGAACGCAGCAAGAAGAAUCUUAUUUCAUGAAGUUUCUAUCCUGCAGAAUUUACUGCCCUUUCAUCUGCUUCUGCAAGCCCUCUCCUCACAUCCACACCUCCGGCUCCGGGCCGCUGAAACUGCAGAAUGGCCCUCAGCUGCCUUCAACCCUCGUCUCGGUCUCCAAUGCCUCGGAUCAGUCGCCUGCUGAGACCACAGAGGUGAAGGAUGGCAGCUUAGUUGCUGCGAAGGGAACUGGUCGUUGCUCCAAGAGCAGCCUCAGGAGGGUGCCUUCGGAAUUGGAACCAAAAGCGCAUCAGAAGAAGAAAGUGCAAUGGGUGGAUUUCUUAGGGAAGGAACUUGUUGAGAUCAGGGAGUACGAGUCUAGCGAGGUAGAUGACACCGACAGGGAGGGAGAUGGGAACAGAGGCUGUGUUUGUGUUAUUCUUUGAUCGUGCGUGCGAUCCACGGAAUGGUAGAAUGAGCGAAGAACUUCGAUUCUCAGUGUAGUUCCGUUCAUCUCGGGUUUGCCGAGAAGUUCCCGACUGGGUCUUCUGCGAGAAGAACGUGAACGUGAGAGGAGCGGAAGCGAAGGGCAAAGGACUGGAGGCGCCUAGAAAAUCAACAACAGUAAAAGAGCAGGGGUUUACUAUACCAUUUGGAGGAUGGGCAAUUAAGGAGAUCGAGAAGCAAGGGAAGCCAAGCUAAAUAAUUCUAUAUUACCGGUGACGAAAUUGAUAAACUGCUCGAUCGAUGCCCUAUUUAUACUUUCUUUAUAUUAUAUCGUCAUCUCCCCUACUAACUUGAUUCAUUUAUGGAUCUCUUAUUGAACUUGCUACAAUUUCUUGAAUUUUCUUAUAAUUUUUUUGCUAAGACUUGUGAUCGACUUGGUUGUGAUUGCAGAUAGUUGAUAAGAGUGUUCAAGCGAGGGAAUAAGAAAAAGAGGACAAAAAAGAUUAAGAGGACUAAAGAGAUUAUUGUAUCAUCCUCCAAUUUCCCGGUAUGGUCCACUGAAGUUGAAAUUGGAGACUCAUACAAGUUGGAUACUUUAAUAUUCUAUAAACAUCUUUGCAAAUUCAGUUUACAAAUUAUCAACUAAAAUUGAAAUUUGCAAGCGCCCGCGCGAUGCAUGGGUCACAUGACUAGUUUAUCUUUAAUUUCCGCCUACUUAAUUAAAUGCUUCUUAAUUAACCGUGAUAUUUCAUGAUGAACAUUGGAAAGAGAGUGUUAUAUUAAUUAUUUUAAAGUUGUAAUA